CAAUAGCGUAUAUUAAAGUUGUUGCAGUUAAAAAGCUCGUAGUUGGAUUUCUGGACGGAGCGACCGGUCCGCUGCUGUGCAGUGUGUACAUGUGUCUGACUCUGUUCAUCCUUGCAGGGAAGCGCAUUUCGGCAUUCAGUUGUCGAGGCGGGGAACUGCAUCUUUUACUGUGAAAAAAUUAGAGUGUUCAAAGCGGGCUUACGCUUGAAUAUUUCAGCAUGGAAUAACACUAUAGGACUCCUGUCCUAUUUCGUUGGUCUCGGGACGGGAGUAAUGAUUAAGAGGAACAGUUGGGGGCAUUCGUAUUUCAUUGUCAGAGGUGAAAUUCUUGGAUUUAUGAAAGACGAACUUCUGCGAAAGCAUUUGCCAAGGAUGUUUUCAUUA
RNAcentral lists this ribosomal RNA (384 nucleotides) under uncultured eukaryote. RNAcentral's name for it is "partial 18S ribosomal RNA". It matches the Rfam family "Eukaryotic small subunit ribosomal RNA", at positions 592 to 975 of the family's 1831-position model. The record is from RNAcentral.